RNAcentral lists this ribosomal RNA (264 nucleotides) under uncultured archaeon. Its description in RNAcentral is "partial 16S ribosomal RNA". It matches the Rfam family "Archaeal small subunit ribosomal RNA", at positions 714 to 982 of the family's 1478-position model. The record is from RNAcentral.
AGACGUCUACAUUAGAUACCCCCGUAGUCCCAGCCGUAAACUAUGCGCGUUAGGUGUAUCGGUGACCACGAGUUACCGAGGUGCCGAAGGGAAACCGUGAAACGUGCCGCCUGGGAAGUACGGUCGCAAGGCUGAAACUUAAAGGAAUUGGCGGGGAGCACCACAACGGGUGGAGCCUGCGGUUUAAUUGGACUCAACGCCGGGAAGCUCACCGGAUAAGACAGCGGAAUGAUUGCCGGGCUGAAGACUCUGCAUGACUAGCUG